Non-coding RNA from Malus domestica (apple), 289 nucleotides. The record is from RefSeq and is a predicted model, not a curated record. NCBI's taxonomy places the organism in Eukaryota, Viridiplantae, Streptophyta, Magnoliopsida, Rosales, Rosaceae.
UUUGAGGGACGGAUGGACAGGGAGGGAGAGAGAGAGAGGGCAGAGAGCAUGUUGUGCGUUUUUUGUACGUUUUCUGUGUGAAUCUGAAGCUGUUGUUAUCAUCUUUUCUCAAACAGGCAAGCUCUCUGAUUUCUCAAGCUCCAGGAAGCAUCCUUCUUCGAGUUUUAGGGUUUCAUUAUGUGAGCUUCCAAGCUUUUUCUGGGUCAGGUAUAUAAUUUAUCUCUUUGGUGUUAAUUUCUUUUUGUUUGGGUUUUUUGAUUGUUUGUGCUUCCAUUUUUCCCUGAAACUU